UGGGGAAUAUUGCACAAUGGGCGCAAGCCUGAUGCAGCCAUGCCGCGUGUAUGAAGAAGGCCUUCGGGUUGUAAAGUACUUUCAGCGGGGAGGAAGGGAGUAAAGUUAAUACCUUUGCUCAUUGACGUUACCCGCAGAAGAAGCACCGGCUAACUCCGUGCCAGCAGCCGCGGUAAUACGGAGGGUGCAAGCGUUAAUCGGAAUUACUGGGCGUAAAGCGCACGCAGGCGGUUUGUUAAGUCAGAUGUGAAAUCCCCGGGCUCAACCUGGGAACUGCAUUCGAAACUGGCAGGCUAGAGUCUUGUAGAGGGGGGUAGAAUUCCAGGUGUAGCGGUGAAAUGCGUAGAGAUCUGGAGGAAUACCGGUGGCGAAGGCGGCCCCCUGGACAAAGACUGACGCUCAGGUGCGAAAGCGUGGGGAGCAAACAGG
Molecule: ribosomal RNA, 429 nt
Filed under: Chloroflexota bacterium
Lineage: Bacteria; Bacillati; Chloroflexota
Description: Chloroflexi bacterium partial 16S ribosomal RNA
Rfam family: Bacterial small subunit ribosomal RNA
Source: RNAcentral